RNAcentral lists this ribosomal RNA (460 nucleotides) under uncultured bacterium. RNAcentral's name for it is "partial 16S ribosomal RNA". It matches the Rfam family "Bacterial small subunit ribosomal RNA", at positions 338 to 795 of the family's 1533-position model. The record is from RNAcentral.
CCUACGGGACGCAGCAGUGAGGAAUAUUGGUCAAUGGACGCAAGUCUGAACCAGCCAUGCCGCGUGCAGGAAGACGGCUCUAUGAGUUGUAAACUGCUUUUGUACGAGGGUAAACGCAGAUACGCGUAUCUGUCUGAAAGUAUCGUACGAAUAAGGAUCGGCUAACUCCGUGCCAGCAGCCGCGGUAAUACGGAGGAUUCAAGCGUUAUCCGGGUUUAUUGGGUUUAAAGGGUGCGUAGGCGGUCGGAUAAGUUAGAGGUGAAAGCCCGGGGCUCAACUUCGGAAUUGCCUCUGAUACUGUUCGGCUAGAGAGUAGUUGCGGUAGGCGGAAUGUAUGGUGUAGCGGUGAAAUGCUUAGAGAUCAUACAGAACACCGAUUGCGAAGGCAGCUUACCAAGCUACUUCUGACGUUGAGGCACGAAAGCGUGGGGAGCAAACAGGAUUAGAUACCCCUGUAGUC